UGUGAAUUGGUAGAGAAUGAACACCGCUUUUCCAGGAUUCCAGCAGGAGGAAGACCUUCCGGGGAAGCUGUUCCAGAGUUCAGUUAGAAAAUGAAAUACUGCAAAUGUUAGUGAAGAUUUUAUCAUCAAAUUUCAUGGGCUUUCCAUGCCAUCCUAUUAUCCAGCUCCUCAUGCUACCCCUCUGGGUACAAGGAUCAGUUCCAGACCAAGAAAUUUUUGAAAAUUAUUUGAAAAAAGUUUUGCUUAUAAUUUGAACAUGAAAAUCAAGAGAAGUGGAUGAAAAGCAGAGAGCAUAACAUGAGAUAAUCGACAUAAGAUAAAGCACAAAAAUAAUGAGACAGCUAUAUUGGGAGAAAACAUGACGAUUUUCUGCAAUUUAACAACUCCAGCAGACGUUGUUCAAAUUACCUGGCAGAAGAUCCAAGAUUCUUUGCCACAAAAUAUUGGCACGUAUAGCAGUAAAUAUGGAGAAAAGAGUCUUCCACCAUACAUAGAUCGGCUACAUUGUGAGGCCAUCGAACCCAAUUCCUCAUUCAUAACUAUCUGAGAGGUGACAUUUGAAGUCGAAGCCUGCUACAAAUGUUUAUUUAAUGUGUUCCCACACGGAAGCCACGGAGGACAAAUCUGCCUUAACAUUAUAACUGUAUCUGAAUUAAGAACUGAACUCCAGUCCAAUCUUGACUCUGAAGAUUUUCUUAGACUUACUUACUCGGCUGUGGGAAAACCUGCUCCUCAAAUAUCUCUUUUCCCAUUACAAGUCUUAAUUAAUCCACCAGAGGAAUCCCUCGCUCUGAACCCCAAUGGCACAGUUACUAUCACUGAAAUGUAUAAUGUCUCCUUGGAGACUGCGAGGUCCCUAAGACUCCAACACCUGAUUGUGCACAUGGAUCAUCCUCUAAGGAAUGAAGAGAAGAUCAUUCCUCUGUCAGUCAAACAAGAAUGUCUGAGAAUGUGCUUGAAACCACACCCCAGCUGAGACAGCCUGGCAUGGACACCCUAAUGAACCACACACCUUAGUGAACACAGAGCCAAGAACUCCGGAACUUGUUAAAAUGAGAAGAAUCCUCAUCAUCAAUACAAAUGAAAGAAAACUCCUCACAUAGAGAAAAAAACCCAGUCACAUCAUGAAUGGAGAGAUCAUUACAGCAUUGAUGGCUUCAAUAUAUAAUUUGGUUCUGGAUAAAAAUAUACAUUUGUUUUGUAAAGUGUCUAUUGGUUAAAUUCAGCUUCAAAAUAUUUGGAUUUUCCGAGGUGGUAAUUGUGGAAACUGUGUAACAUUUCUCAAAAAUCAUUUCGUACUUGCCAGCUCCACAGUGUAGAUUGCCAUUCCUCCAAGCGCCAACGCAGUGAAACAAUUCAUGUCUUCCCACCUCUCCCUGAUUCCUUUCUCUGUCUGCACAAUGAAAAUGGAAACGGUGUAUAUUUUUUCAAACAUUUUCUGUUUCCCCAGUUGCCACCUCUGAAAACUGCGAAUCGUUUUGAAGAUAGGAAAAGAGGAGUACUAUUUAUUUUAUUUUAUCCCCUACAAGUAAACUGGAAAAACUGGC
Molecule: long non-coding RNA, 1547 nt
Organism: Eubalaena glacialis (North Atlantic right whale)
Lineage: Eukaryota; Metazoa; Chordata; Mammalia; Artiodactyla; Balaenidae
Exons: 7
Source: RefSeq, a predicted model, not a curated record